CUAUAUAUUGGGUUUGGAUGUUGCCUUCACAUGCUCUCUAUUUUCCUCAUCUAUUGGUGUUUUUGUUGCUUGGUUGCCUUAAUAAAGUAGCUAAUGAAAGGAGUCUUAACCAUUCCUAAAGCUACAUUUAAUCAUUAUGCAGAUACAUGAAUCAUGAUAAUAAGAAACAGGAUCACUACAAUCCUAAGACAAAAGGACCGGCGCUAUGAUGCUAGCUUCCAAUGCUGGCUCCC
This is a long non-coding RNA of Arabidopsis thaliana (thale cress), 233 nucleotides long. RefSeq annotates it as other RNA. The record is from RefSeq. The transcript has a single exon. Lineage: Eukaryota; Viridiplantae; Streptophyta; Magnoliopsida; Brassicales; Brassicaceae.